GCCUGGGUGGCUCAGUCGGUUGAGCGUCUGACUUCGGCUCAGGUCAUGAUCUCACAGUUCGUGAGUUCGAGCCCCGCGUUGGGCU
RNAcentral lists this transfer RNA (85 nucleotides) under Felis catus (domestic cat). It matches the Rfam family "tRNA". From Rfam's summary of the family: Transfer RNA (tRNA) molecules are approximately 80 nucleotides in length. Their secondary structure includes four short double-helical elements and three loops (D, anti-codon, and T loops). Further hydrogen bonds mediate the characteristic L-shaped molecular structure. tRNAs have two regions of fundamental functional importance: the anti-codon, which is responsible for specific mRNA codon recognition, and the 3' end, to which the tRNAs corresponding amino acid is attached (by aminoacyl-tRNA synthetases). tRNAs cope with the degeneracy of the genetic code in two manners: having more than one tRNA (with a specific anti-codon) for a particular amino acid; and 'wobble' base-pairing, i.e. permitting non-standard base-pairing at the 3rd anti-codon position. The record is from Rfam by way of RNAcentral. Lineage: Eukaryota; Metazoa; Chordata; Mammalia; Carnivora; Felidae.